GGUUUGUGACUCAGUGGUAGAGAGCUUGCCUAGCACGUGUGAGGAACUGGGUUCAAUUCUCAGCACCA
This 68-nucleotide transfer RNA is filed under the name Marmota monax (woodchuck). RNAcentral describes it as "tRNA.Ala". The record is from RNAcentral. Lineage: Eukaryota; Metazoa; Chordata; Mammalia; Rodentia; Sciuridae.